RNAcentral lists this ribosomal RNA (497 nucleotides) under uncultured bacterium. Its description in RNAcentral is "partial 16S ribosomal RNA". It matches the Rfam family "Bacterial small subunit ribosomal RNA", at positions 28 to 507 of the family's 1533-position model. The record is from RNAcentral.
GAUGAACGCUGGCGGCGUGCCUAAUACAUGCAAGUCGAGCGAACAGACGAGGAGCUUGCUCCUCUGACGUUAGCGGCGGACGGGUGAGUAACACGUGGAUAACCUACCUAUAAGACUGGGAUAACUUCGGGAAACCGGAGCUAAUACCGGAUAAUAUAUUGAACCGCAUGGUUCAAUAGUGAAAGACGGUUUUGCUGUCCCUUAUAGAUGGAUCCGCGCCGCAUUAGCUAGUUGGUAAGGUAACGGCUUACCAAGGCAACGAUGCGUAGCCGACCUGAGAGGGUGAUCGGCCACACUGGAACUGAGACACGGUCCAGACUCCUACGGGAGGCAGCAGUAGGGAAUCGUCCGCAAUGGGCGAAAGCCUGACGGAGCAACGCCGCGUGAGUGAUGAAGGUCUGCGGAUCGUAAAACUCUGUUAUUAGGGAAGAACAAAUGUGUAAGUAACUAUGCACGUCUUGACGGUACCUAAUCAGAAAGCCACGGCUAACUACGUG